GGAAGUGAACCGAAUGGUUAGGAGGCCGCCUCGAAAGCGGUUGCCCCCCUGGGGUUGCAGGUUCGAGUCCUGUCACUUCCG
RNAcentral lists this transfer RNA (81 nucleotides) under Vampirovibrionales bacterium. Its description in RNAcentral is "tRNA-Ser". It matches the Rfam family "tRNA". Rfam says of the family: Transfer RNA (tRNA) molecules are approximately 80 nucleotides in length. RNAcentral also lists the same sequence under 4 other names. The record is from RNAcentral. Lineage: Bacteria; Bacillati; Candidatus Melainabacteria; Vampirovibriophyceae; Vampirovibrionales.